Molecule: ribosomal RNA, 253 nt
Filed under: uncultured bacterium
Lineage: Bacteria
Description: partial 16S ribosomal RNA
Rfam family: Bacterial small subunit ribosomal RNA
Source: RNAcentral
UACGGGGGGGGCAAGCGUUGUUCGGAAUUACUGGGCGUAAAGGGUUUGUAGGUGGCCGGCUAAGUCAGACGUGAAAUCCCUCGGCUCAACUGAGGACGUGCGGAAGAAACUGCAGGGCUGGAGUCCGGGAGAGGAGGGUGGAAUUCCCAGUGUAGCGGUGAAAUGCGUAGAUAUUGGGAGGAACACCGGUGGCGAAGGCGGCCCUCUGGACCGGUACUGACGCUGAUGCGCGAAAGCGUGGGGAGCAAACGGG